RNAcentral lists this ribosomal RNA (782 nucleotides) under uncultured bacterium. RNAcentral's name for it is "bacterial SSU rRNA". It matches the Rfam family "Bacterial small subunit ribosomal RNA", at positions 726 to 1504 of the family's 1533-position model. The record is from RNAcentral.
UUUCUGGCUGACAACUGACGCUGAGGCGCGAAAGCGUGGGGAGCAAACAGGAUUAGAUACCCUGGUAGUCCACGCCGUAAACGAUGAUUACUGGGUGUAGGGAGUAUCGACUCUCUCUGUGCCGAAGCAAACGCGAUAAGUAAUCCACCUGGGGAGUACGGCCGCAAGGCUAAAACUCAAAGGAAUUGACGGGGACCCGCACAAGCAGUGGAGUAUGUGGUUUAAUUCGAGGCAACGCGAAGAACCUUACCAGGGAUUGACAUCCUGCGCUAGGCCUGGAGACAGGUUGUUCCUUCGGGACGCAGAGACAGGUGGUGCAUGGUUGUCGUCAGCUCGUGUCGUGAGAUGUUCGGUUAAGUCCGGCAACGAGCGCAACCCUUGUUGUCAGUUACCAUCAUUAAGUUGGGGACUUUGGCGAGACUGCCGUUGACAAAACGGAGGAAGGUGGGGAUGACGUCAAAUCAUCAUGCCCCUUAUAUCCUGGGCUACACUCGUACUACAAUGGGCGUUACAGCGGGCAGCCACACCGCGAGGUGGAGCGAAUCCCGAAAGGCGUCCUCAGUUCGGAUUGCAGGCUGCAACUCGCCUGCAUGAAGUCGGAAUUGCUAGUAAUGGCAGGUCAGCAUACUGCCGUGAAUACGUUCCCGGGUCUUGUACACACCGCCCGUCACACCAUGAGAGUCUGUAACACCCGAAGUCAGUAGUCUAACCUGAUUAGAUUAGGGGGACGCUGCCGAAGGUGGGAUAGAUAAUUGGGGUGAAGUCGUAACAAGGUAACCGUA